RNAcentral lists this ribosomal RNA (371 nucleotides) under Clostridioides difficile. RNAcentral describes it as "bacterial SSU rRNA". It matches the Rfam family "Bacterial small subunit ribosomal RNA", at positions 323 to 712 of the family's 1533-position model. Lineage: Bacteria; Bacillati; Bacillota; Clostridia; Peptostreptococcales; Peptostreptococcaceae. The record is from RNAcentral.
GACACGGUCCAAACUCCUACGGGAGGCAGCAGUGGGGAAUAUUGCACAAUGGGCGAAAGCCUGAUGCAGCAACGCCGCGUGAGUGAUGAAGGCCUUCGGGUCGUAAAACUCUGUCCUCAAGGAAGAUAAUGACGGUACUUGAGGAGGAAGCCCCGGCUAACUACGUGCCAGCAGCCGCGGUAAUACGUAGGGGGCUAGCGUUAUCCGGAUUUACUGGGCGUAAAGGGUGCGUAGGCGGUCUUUCAAGUCAGGAGUGAAAGGCUACGGCUCAACCGUAGUAAGCUCUUGAAACUGGGAGACUUGAGUGCAGGAGAGGAGAGUGGAAUUCCUAGUGUAGCGGUGAAAUGCGUAGAUAUUAGGAGGAACACCAG